GUGGUGCAUGGCUGUCGUCAGCUCGUGUCGUGAGAUGUUGGGUUAAGUCCCGCAACGAGCGUAACCCUUGUUUUUAGUUGCCUUUCGAGGAUAUUUAGAAAGACUGCCGAUUAUAAAUCGGAGGAAGGUAAGGACGACGUCAAGUCAUCAUGCCCCUUACACUCUGGGCUACACACGUGCUACAUUGGGUAGAACAAUAAGUUGCUAAGUUGCGAAACCAAGCGAAUCUUCAAAUCUACUCUAAGUUCGGAUUGUAGGCUGCAACUCGCCUACAUAAAGAUGGAAUCGCUAGUAAUCGCUGGUCAGC
This 307-nucleotide ribosomal RNA is filed under the name Oxyrrhis marina. Its description in RNAcentral is "partial Bacterial small subunit ribosomal RNA". It matches the Rfam family "Bacterial small subunit ribosomal RNA", at positions 1038 to 1353 of the family's 1533-position model. Lineage: Eukaryota; Dinophyceae; Oxyrrhinales; Oxyrrhinaceae. The record is from RNAcentral.